RNAcentral lists this non-coding RNA (734 nucleotides) under Pongo abelii (Sumatran orangutan). The record is from RNAcentral. Lineage: Eukaryota; Metazoa; Chordata; Mammalia; Primates; Hominidae.
ACUCAGUUCUGACCAAGGAGCUGAGAAGUGAUGGCUGGAGCCUCAACACCAUUCUGGACGCCAAAAAGAGCUGGCCUUGGCUGGAAGGUUUUGGAUAGGAGGAGAGGGCUAAAGCAUGCAAAGGCACAACAAUGAUGGAACUAAGCAAAGAAGAUACUCUAUCCCACUUCAGUGAAAACAUCAUGAGGCUUGAAGCAUGGAAGUUGCCUCACCCCCGUGUUUCCUGCCAGGUGGAACAAAGUGCUGAGAGAAUCAAACCAGCAAGCAAAGAGAAGAGGAGCAAGAGAUGGAAAGUGACCCCUAGCAUGCACAUCCCUAAGCCCCAGCUGAUUAUAUCAGCCGGCAAACUCCUCUUGUGACCUAGGCUAGUAUGAGUGGAAUCCCUGUCACUUGUGACCAAAGCAGUCCUGAUCCAGAAAUGCAGGGACUGGCUGAGGGCAGCCCAACAUUGGUGGCUGAGGGUUUAGACCAUCACACUCCAGAAAGUCAGAGUCACGGAAAAUCUUUGCUCAGGAAGGCAACAGUAUACAAAAAGGCGAAGUAUACAAAAAGAUACUUUUAGAGAGAUCAAUCUGGCUGCAGUGAGAGCAAUGGGCUGGAUGGGGCCAGGGCUGGAGGCACAGGUCAGAGUCUUUUGAAAUGUGCUGACAACGCCCAGAUCUCCAUCUCCAGCCCUUAGGGUCGGUGCCUGGUAGGGAUAUUUACUGGAAUCCGCAUUAGAGCUCAGAUGUCAA